RNAcentral lists this ribosomal RNA (649 nucleotides) under Inchoatia inchoata regina. RNAcentral describes it as "Sericata regina partial 12S ribosomal RNA". Lineage: Eukaryota; Metazoa; Mollusca; Gastropoda; Stylommatophora; Clausiliidae. The record is from RNAcentral.
UCCACUUUAAUGUGAUGGAGAUACAAGCUUAAUAUAUAUUUAAAUAUGGAAUUUGAAGUAAAUUUUCCAGUUUAAGAUUUUAAAUAAUAUAUGAAAAUAUAAUUUAGAUAAUUUUUUAGUUUAGGUUUAUUAGGUGCCAGCAACCGCGGUCAUACCUAAUAAAUGAGCUUACAUGUUAUAGUAGAGUAGUCAGCCUAAAUAAUUAAUUUAUAUAUAUAGUGAAAUACUAUUAUUACUUUUACCCAAAUUAGGAAUAAAUUUAAGAAAGCCAUAAUUAAAACCAGGAUUAGAGACCCUGCUAUUAUGGGUGUAAUAAAAUGCUAUUAAGGAUUAACACAAUAUUGUAUAAACUUAAACAUUAUGGCGGCUAAAACAAAACAGUUAGGGGAACUUACCAUAGAAUAGAUAACCACCAAGCAAAUAAUACUUAUUAUAAUAAUUUGUAUACCGUUGUCGUCAUGAGCCCUUCUAGAGGGCCUAUAGUUAUAUGUCCUAUAAAAAGAUAAAUCAAGGUGCAGUUAAUUAGUAAGAAAUAAGGUGAGUUACAUUAAUAAAUUUUUUCGAAUUAUAUAAUGAAAUUAUAUAUAAAGGCGGACUUAAGAGUACAAGAUAAAAAUAAUUACUUUUAGAAUUACUAUUGGUUAGUGCA